UCCACUUAUUGGAACGCAAUUUGGUUAGUGUUCCACUCAUUGAAUUCCUGUCGAUUGAAUUUGAUUAUCUGAAAAUGAACUGUACUAUAUGAAAGGAAAAUCAUAGUAGAGAGAAUUUCUGCAGCUUUGCAGGAAAACGGGUCAACCAGAAAGUAGCCCACCCUAGAAGCAGAAAGGAGACUACCCAGUGUACAAACACAUCUAGGUGUGCGUACGAGAAUCGCGGGCCAUUCGAGCAAAAUAAUGGCGCUAGUGGAAGUGCAUCGGCUAAUUUACGAGUCGACAUGGAUGAAAACACGAGCUCCCCAUUCUACGUAUAUAAGUACACUAUUCAUCGUGGAGAAAUGGCGUCAGCGGAAUACCUCUACGAGGUAGUUCUUUGAAUUCUGAAUCGAAUUCAUUCGUCACACGAGUAUACCUAGACUCUGGACAAGAGGAAUGUGUUCAAAUCUCAUCAUUUUUGUAACAUACGCUACCGUCUCGGAUAUCUCGGAUAUUUCAUACCGAUGAUAUAUCAUAAGAAGACCGAAGUAUUUGUUAUAUUUUCAAAGUUAUAAUUUACGAACGUUCCUUUACUGUUGACUUUGUACCUUUGGCAUAACUAGAAUCCAAUAUCCUGCUCUAUCUAAAUUAAAACAAGAAAUAUAUUACUCCUUUUAUAUCACUCACAAA
Bombus pascuorum is the source of this 672-nucleotide long non-coding RNA. RefSeq lists it as uncharacterized. NCBI's taxonomy places the organism in Eukaryota, Metazoa, Arthropoda, Insecta, Hymenoptera, Apidae. The transcript is spliced from 2 exons. The record is from RefSeq and is a predicted model, not a curated record.